Long non-coding RNA from Gallus gallus (chicken), 1848 nucleotides. The record is from Ensembl. NCBI's taxonomy places the organism in Eukaryota, Metazoa, Chordata, Aves, Galliformes, Phasianidae.
GAGUAUCCUCAGACCUGCUGCAAGCAUGGGGGAGAAAAAUGGAAGGCAGAGUAGCUAGUGGAAAGUGGAGAUUAGGGAGUCUCAUUUGUAGUCUUUUGUUACCCAAAACUAUUUAGAAGCUCUGAUAGAAAAGGUAGGAUCAGGUAAUUAAAUCCUCUCCCAAAGAUGGGAAGUCAUGCAGCUCUGAAAUCAGGGCAAGACUAGGACGAGAGUUCUGUCUCCCUCUUUUGUGGCAUGGAUGGACCUCAUUGGGAUGUUCUUUUUCUCCUGCUGAAAACUUCUGCCAGCACCAGGGUAUAGACAGUCGUCUGCAUGACUGUCAGUGCUGUGAUGGAUUGGAGCAGGCUGGGAAGGCAGCAAGAGGGUGGGGAACAAGGAUGGCAAGAAUGGUCUCCAACACCGUUACCACCCCGAGCUUCUAGUUCCUCUUCUGUCCCAAAAGCCAAGACAGCAUCAGCAGACUGCUCCAGCAACCCAGUGCAGCAGCCCAGGGUGCAGCACGAGAACCCAGACUGUAGCCCAGCGCAGUCCCAGGGGGCUACUGAGAUCUCCACAGCAAAGAUAGAUAAAUACUGUCUAAAUGUGUUUUGUUUUCGUUUGUUACUAUUUCCUGACCUAAGAAUGUAUGAUUACAGUCUUGGACAACCAGUACAUGACUGUGAACAAAUCCACAAGUUAGGAAGAAGUUUCUGUUUUGUGUGCCUAAACUGUAAACAUAGCAUAUAUGCAUUAUAUAUUGCAAGUGGGAAUAGAGGUAUCUGCAUAUACGUGUGUGUGUAUCAAUGUUACGAUUCCCUUUGUUGAUGAAGCACAAAUUUGGGCUCUUCUAGAAUUCUGGGCCUGAUACUUGGAUAUUUUAGCUUUAGUUCACUGUAUUCCUGCAGCACCGGAUACUCUCCAAUGCAAGCAAUGUGAUACUAAACCUUUUUCAGAGGGCAAGAUCCUGAAGAUUUGCUAUGCCCUUUCCUGACACUAGGAUCAACUCACGUAGCUGAAUCUGGCAUUCAUAUAGAUUUCAAUGUCUCUGUGGGAACUGCAUGUGCUCUUUUUAUUUUAUGCUGAGAUUCCACUAAAUUGUUCUUUGGAUUUAUUUCAAAGAAGGAGAAGGGAGAAAAAGGCAGUAAAGAUUGCUCUUCUUAUGCUUUUAGUUGUUUUUUUAACUCAAUUAUAUUUUGACAAUUCUGUAUGAAACUUUGGAGUAUGUCUUUGUUUAAGCAGUAUACCUUCCAUAGGAAUAGUCAGUUAAAUGCAUAUGGCUAGUUUCAGGCAUAACAAGCUUUGACAAGGGCAUUUAGCGGUUGUAAUUCAAAUCUAAUUCAGAACAUCUUAGCACUGGACCUGUCAAGCACUUGAAAUGCACUGUAGCUGCAAAACGAAGGGAUAUGGUCCCAGUCGUGCUCUGUGUGGCAUCAAGCUGAUGUGUCAACAAGAGCAGUUACAAUUACAGGUUCUUUCAAGCAUACUAAACUAAUUUACAGUACUCCUGAAAUUGUGGGAAAAGGCCUUGUUGGCAUGAAGGUACACAGGACUUUCAUACUGCAGAGACGAGGCAGGUGACAAGAGGGUUUCACUCAGGAGUUUCAGUAUUGCACAGUUUCAGUGCCACCUUUGGAGUCGGGGGAGGGUUUGUUAGAUUUGUAACUAGAUAUUUUGUGGAUAAUAAUAGAUUUGCCUUGCAGCCAUCAAAUACCCUUGUCAAAUCCCAUUAGAAUCACAUUGCACACUUGUUUGAAACCUCAAUCUAAAAUGCACCCAUUUGCUAAGUGAGGAUGGGGUCCUAAUUGCACUGGCAGUGACUGGUCCUUUUUGUUCGUCUAUUUUGCGUAAUAAACAGCACUGAGCCUGGCU